This 248-nucleotide ribosomal RNA is filed under the name Clostridioides difficile. Its description in RNAcentral is "partial 23S ribosomal RNA". It matches the Rfam family "Bacterial large subunit ribosomal RNA", at positions 1 to 248 of the family's 2925-position model. The record is from RNAcentral. Lineage: Bacteria; Bacillati; Bacillota; Clostridia; Peptostreptococcales; Peptostreptococcaceae.
UGGUCAAGUUAUUAAGGGUGCAGGGCGGAUGCCUUGGCACUAGGAGCCGAUGAAGGACGUGAUAAGCUGCGAUAAGCUUCGGGGAGUUGCACGUAAACUUUGAUCCGAAGAUUUCCGAAUGAGGAAACUCACUUAGAGUAAUGUCUAAGUAUCAUUAAGUGAAUACAUAGCUUAAUGAGGGGAACUCAGGGAACUGAAACAUCUAAGUACCUGAAGGAAGAGAAAGAAAUUCGAUUCCGUAAGUAGCG